Molecule: ribosomal RNA, 2517 nt
Filed under: Burkholderia multivorans ATCC 17616
Lineage: Bacteria; Pseudomonadati; Pseudomonadota; Betaproteobacteria; Burkholderiales; Burkholderiaceae
Description: bacterial LSU rRNA
Rfam family: Bacterial large subunit ribosomal RNA
Source: RNAcentral
AGUAAGGCGGGACACGUGAAAUCCUGUCUGAAGAUGGGGGGACCAUCCUCCAAGGCUAAAUACUCGUGAUCGACCGAUAGUGAACCAGUACCGUGAGGGAAAGGCGAAAAGAACCCCGGGAGGGGAGUGAAAUAGAUCCUGAAACCGCAUGCAUACAAACAGUCGGAGCCUCUUUAUGGGGUGACGGCGUACCUUUUGUAUAAUGGGUCAGCGACUUACGUUCAGUAGCAAGCUUAACCGUAUAGGGCAGGCGUAGCGAAAGCGAGUCCGAAUAGGGCGUUCAGUUGCUGGGCGUAGACCCGAAACCAGGUGAUCUAUCCAUGGCCAGGAUGAAGGUGCGGUAACACGUACUGGAGGUCCGAACCCACUAACGUUGAAAAGUUAGGGGAUGAGCUGUGGAUAGGGGUGAAAGGCUAAACAAACCUGGAAAUAGCUGGUUCUCUCCGAAAACUAUUUAGGUAGUGCCUCGUGUCUCACCUUCGGGGGUAGAGCACUGUCAUGGUUGGGGGGUCUAUUGCAGAUUACCCCGCCAUAGCAAACUCCGAAUACCGAAGAGUGCAAUCACGGGAGACAGACAUCGGGUGCUAACGUCCGGUGUCAAGAGGGAAACAACCCAGACCGCCAGCUAAGGUCCCCAAAUAUGGCUAAGUGGGAAACGAAGUGGGAAGGCUAAAACAGUCAGGAGGUUGGCUUAGAAGCAGCCACCCUUUAAAGAAAGCGUAAUAGCUCACUGAUCGAGUCGUCCUGCGCGGAAGAUGUAACGGGGCUAAGCCAUAUACCGAAGCUGCGGAUGCGAGCUUGCUCGCAUGGUAGGAGAGCGUUCCGUAAGCCUGCGAAGGUGCCUUGUAAAGGGUGCUGGAGGUAUCGGAAGUGCGAAUGCUGACAUGAGUAGCGAUAAAGGGGGUGAAAGGCCCCCUCGCCGUAAGCCCAAGGUUUCCUACGCAACGUUCAUCGGCGUAGGGUGAGUCGGCCCCUAAGGCGAGGCAGAAAUGCGUAGCUGAUGGGAAGCAGGUCAAUAUUCCUGCACCGUCGUUAGAUGCGAUGGGGGGACGGAUCGCGGAAGGUUGUCCGGGUGUUGGACGUCCCGGUCGCUGCAUUGGAGAAGGCGCUUAGGCAAAUCCGGGCGCAGGAUUCAAGGGUGUGGCGCGAGCGACUUCGGUCGCGAAGCAAUUGGAAGUGGUUCCAAGAAAAGCCUCUAAGCUUCAGUCUAACGAUGACCGUACCGCAAACCGACACAGGUGGGCGAGAUGAGUAUUCUAAGGCGCUUGAGAGAACUCGGGAGAAGGAACUCGGCAAAUUGGUACCGUAACUUCGGGAUAAGGUACGCCCUUGUAGCUUGACUGGCCUGCGCCAGGAGGGUGAAGGGGUUGCAAUAAACUGGUGGCUGCGACUGUUUAAUAAAAACACAGCACUCUGCAAACACGAAAGUGGACGUAUAGGGUGUGACGCCUGCCCGGUGCCGGAAGAUUAAAUGAUGGGGUGCAAGCUCUUGAUUGAAGUCCCGGUAAACGGCGGCCGUAACUAUAACGGUCCUAAGGUAGCGAAAUUCCUUGUCGGGUAAGUUCCGACCUGCACGAAUGGCGUAACGAUGGCCACACUGUCUCCUCCCGAGACUCAGCGAAGUUGAAGUGUUUGUGAUGAUGCAAUCUACCCGCGGCUAGACGGAAAGACCCCAUGAACCUUUACUGUAGCUUUGCAUUGGACUUUGAACCGAUCUGUGUAGGAUAGGUGGGAGGCUAUGAAACCGGAACGCUAGUUUCGGUGGAGCCGUCCUUGAAAUACCACCCUGGUUUGUUUGAGGUUCUAACCUUGGUCCGUGAUCCGGAUCGGGGACAGUGCAUGGUAGGCAGUUUGACUGGGGCGGUCUCCUCCCAAAGGGUAACGGAGGAGUACGAAGGUACGCUAGGUACGGUCGGAAAUCGUGCUGAUAGUGCAAUGGCAUAAGCGUGCUUAACUGCGAGACCGACAAGUCGAGCAGGUGCGAAAGCAGGUCAUAGUGAUCCGGUGGUUCUGUAUGGAAGGGCCAUCGCUCAACGGAUAAAAGGUACUCUGGGGAUAACAGGCUGAUACCGCCCAAGAGUUCAUAUCGACGGCGGUGUUUGGCACCUCGAUGUCGGCUCAUCUCAUCCUGGGGCUGUAGCCGGUCCCAAGGGUAUGGCUGUUCGCCAUUUAAAGAGGUACGUGAGCUGGGUUUAAAACGUCGUGAGACAGUUUGGUCCCUAUCUGCCGUGGGCGUUGGAUAUUUGAAGGGGGCUGCUCCUAGUACGAGAGGACCGGAGUGGACGAACCUCUGGUGUACCGGUUGUGACGCCAGUCGCAUCGCCGGGUAGCUAUGUUCGGAAGAGAUAACCGCUGAAAGCAUCUAAGCGGGAAACUCGCCUUAAGAUGAGAUAUCCCUGGAGGCUUGACCUCCUUGAAGGGUCGUUCGAGACCAGGACGUUGAUAGGUCGGGUGUGUAAGCGCAGUAAUGCGUUCAGCUAACCGAUACUAAUUGCCCGUAAGGCUUGAUCCUAUAAC